RNAcentral lists this ribosomal RNA (253 nucleotides) under uncultured bacterium. Its description in RNAcentral is "partial 16S ribosomal RNA". It matches the Rfam family "Bacterial small subunit ribosomal RNA", at positions 524 to 776 of the family's 1533-position model. The record is from RNAcentral.
GACGUAGGGGGCCAGCGUUGCUCGGAAUUACUGGGCGUAAAGGGUUCGUGGGCGGUGUGGCAAGUCGGGAGUGAAAUCUCUGGGCUUAACUCAGAGGCUGCUUCCGAAACUGCCGUGCUAGAGUGCGGGAGAGGCGAGUGGAAUUGCAGGUGUAGCGGUGAAAUGCGUAGAUAUCUGCAGGAACACCCGUGGCGAAGGCGGCUCGCUGGACCGCAACUGACGCUGAGGAACGAAAGCUAGGGGAGCAAACAGG